CCUACGGGAGGCUGCAGUGGGGAAUAUUGGGCAAUGGGCGCAAGCCUGACCCAGCAAUGCCGCGUGAAGGAAGAAGGCUUUCGGGUUGUAAACUUCUUUGACAGGGGAAGAGCAGAAGACGGUACCCUGAAAACAAGCCACGGCUAACUACGUGCCAGAAGCCGCGGUAAUACGUAGGUGGCAAGCGUUGUCCGGAUGUGCUGGGUGUAAAGGGCGUGUAGCCGGGAAUGCAAGUCAGAUGUGAAAUCUGGAGGCUCAACCUCCAAAUUGCAUUUGAAACUGUUUUUCUUGAGUACUGGAGAGGCAGACGGAAUUCCUGGUGUAGCGGUGAAAUGCGUAGAUAUAAGGAGGAACACCAGUGGCGAAGGCGGUCUGCUGGACAGCAACUGACGGUGAGGCGCGAAAGCGUGGGGAGCAAACAGGAUUAGAUACCCCUGUAGUC
RNAcentral lists this ribosomal RNA (442 nucleotides) under uncultured bacterium. Its description in RNAcentral is "partial 16S ribosomal RNA". It matches the Rfam family "Bacterial small subunit ribosomal RNA", at positions 338 to 795 of the family's 1533-position model. The record is from RNAcentral.